UACGUAGGGGGCGAGCGUUGUCCGGAUUUAUUGGGCGUAAAGAGCGUGUAGGCGGCCAGGUAGGUCUGCUGUGAAAACUCGAGGCUCAACCUCGAGACGUCGGCGGAAACCAUCUGGCUAGAGUCCGGAAGGGGAGAGUGGAAUUCCUGGUGUAGCGGUGAAAUGCGCAGAUAUCAGGAAGAACACCUAUGGCGAAGGCAGCUCUCUGGGACGGUACUGACGCUGAGACGCGAAAGCGUGGGGAGCGAACAGG
Molecule: ribosomal RNA, 253 nt
Filed under: uncultured bacterium
Lineage: Bacteria
Description: partial 16S ribosomal RNA
Rfam family: Bacterial small subunit ribosomal RNA
Source: RNAcentral